GGAUACUAGUCGGAUUUGCUUCCACUGUGCCACAAUGGAAACUCUUACAUAUAUUUCUUAGUUUCUUAUCUAGGUUUAAAAUUCCUUACUAGCAAAGAUAUUAAUAAUAAAAACAAGAAGUAAAAAUAAAACGUCUUUUUUUUUUGUAGCAUUACAAUGCUUCAGGCACAAUGUUAAUCAUUUUAUCUACUCAAUUUCAUUUAAUUUCUUACAACAGAUUUAGAGAAUGAGGUUAUAUUACCUGAAUUCUAGAUCAGAACGUAGGGCUUAGAGGCUAAGCAAGUUUCAAGACUAUUAUUCUAAUGAAUAACAUCGCUAUUAAAACUCAGACUUGUCAGAUGCUCUUACAUGUCUGCUUAUAUUACUCUAUGAACAAAACUGUCAUCAAAGGAAAAUGAAAAGCACAACCUAAAAGUUGAGAAUUCUAUUUUAUUCAGGAUAUUACUAGGAUUGCAGCCUGGAAAUAGCCUCUCACCUCUGAGGAAAUGUUCUGAAGAGGUACUGGAGGAGCCAGGAUAUACAGGGGUCUUUGUAGAAAAUAAAAUAAAAUAAAAUAAAAGACAGGUAGUGGAACAUCAAAAGAUUGGUGCUAGUUACACCCACACUCCCCCCCACUCCCCCGACCAUCACGAGUUAAAAAUGUAGCGCUUUUCUCUGUAAUGGGAAGAUAGGAAAAUCUGGGCAUAUUGAAAUUCUUUCUUUGGUAUGCGCCUUAGAUAUCUAAGACCAAUAUCCUAUUUUUCUCCAUCCUCAUCUCCAUUCUGAGUCUACUCAAGGUGCUACAGGGUGGCUGCAGUGGCUGAUGGCUUUAUGGCUGCAACAUCCUUUUUACUGAAAUGUCAGAUCAGGAAACUGGGACCAGAGAUGUUAGGAUGCUAAAUCCAAGCUAUGAAGUGGAAGAAUUGGCUUAUGAACACUGGCAAUCUGGCUCCAGAACUCAAGUGCCUAAAUGAAUAUUAAUCAUAGGUCUUUCUGUGCAAUUCAAACGUGCAUAAGUGAAAUCACAUUUCUUAAGGCCAGAGUCAUCAAUGGGAGAAUUGGAAUGAGCUAAAGGGAUAAAGAUUCUAUAAGCUCUCACUCCAGGAUCCUUCAUCUAAAUUCAGGUAGCUGAUGUCAUGGGAUGAGACUGGUGUUGAAUUAGAAGAGCUGCACAGAAGUCUUGGAAGCUGUGCACAAAUAGGUACACCUCUAUUAACCUUAUGUCCUCAUCUGUAAAAAGUAGGAGACAGAACCUGCCCUCUGAACUCACAGGUUCAUGAUCAAGAUUAAAUGAAAUAAAGUGUGUGAAAGUAAUGAAUAAACUGUAAGACAUU
Molecule: long non-coding RNA, 1313 nt
Organism: Phacochoerus africanus (Common warthog)
Lineage: Eukaryota; Metazoa; Chordata; Mammalia; Artiodactyla; Suidae
Exons: 4
Source: RefSeq, a predicted model, not a curated record